This 393-nucleotide ribosomal RNA is filed under the name uncultured bacterium. RNAcentral's name for it is "partial 16S ribosomal RNA". It matches the Rfam family "Bacterial small subunit ribosomal RNA", at positions 523 to 918 of the family's 1533-position model. The record is from RNAcentral.
AUACGGAGGAUGCAAGCGUUAUCCGGAUUUAUUGGGUUUAAAGGGAGCGCAGGCGGAGAUGCAAGCGUGACGUCAAAUUUCGGGGCUCAACCCCGUCUCGCGUCGCGAACUGCGUCCCUUGGUUGCGGGAAGGGGAGGCGGAACUCGUGGUGUAGCGGUGAAAUGCAUAGAUAUCACGAAGAACUCCGAUCGCGAAGGCAGCCUUCCGGCCCGUCAACGACGCUCAUGCUCGAAGGUGCGGGUAUCAAACAGGAUUAGAUACCCUGGUAGUCCGCACAGUAAACGAUGGACACCCGCGGUUUGGCCUGUAUGGCUGAGCCGCCAAGCGAAAGCGUUAAGUGUCCCACCUGGGGAGUACGCCGGCAACGGUGAAACUCAAAGGAAUUGACGGGG